Molecule: ribosomal RNA, 216 nt
Filed under: Glomeromycotina sp.
Lineage: Eukaryota; Fungi; Glomeromycota
Description: partial small subunit ribosomal RNA
Rfam family: Eukaryotic small subunit ribosomal RNA (bases 40-216)
Source: RNAcentral
GGGUCAGUAGGUUGGUCGUGCCACCGGUACGUACUGGUCUCACUGAUUCCUCCUUCCUGAAGAACCGUAAUGCCAUUAAUUUGGUGUUGCGGGGAAACAGGACUGUUACUCUGAAAAAAUUAGAGUGAUUAAAGCAAGCUAACGCUUGAAUACAUUAGCAUGGAAUAAUGAAAUAGGACGAUCGAUCCUAUUUUGUUGGUUUCUAGGAUUGACGUA